This 74-nucleotide transfer RNA is filed under the name Cryomorphaceae bacterium. RNAcentral describes it as "tRNA-Ala". It matches the Rfam family "tRNA". Rfam says of the family: Transfer RNA (tRNA) molecules are approximately 80 nucleotides in length. Their secondary structure includes four short double-helical elements and three loops (D, anti-codon, and T loops). RNAcentral also lists the same sequence under 4 other names. The record is from RNAcentral. Lineage: Bacteria; Pseudomonadati; Bacteroidota; Flavobacteriia; Flavobacteriales; Cryomorphaceae.
GGGGGAUUAGCUCAGCUGGCUAGAGCACUUGAUUUGCAUUCAAGAGGUCAUCGGUUCGACUCCGAUAUCCUCCA